UGCGCGCCAUGAACAGAUAUUCGUAAUUGCUUGGGCCCAAAGUGCAAUCCGCUGAUAAGGACAUUUGGGUCUGUAGAUGCGUUGGUGAGACAGACAAGUUGCGCCUCGGUGGUUUUUUUGGUGGUGUUGGCUGAAAUAAUUAACUCUCCAAAGAUAUUCUAUGAAUAUUGUUAAUACUUUUUAAAACGAUAACGAUUGAAUAAUUGUUAAAAUUAUAGGGAUAUUUAUUUUAAUUGGCCUCAAUUUAAAUGUCAUCUUAAUUGACUGCGAGUAAAAAAAACAUCGAUACUUUGACAAUAAUGUGAUAUCUCGUUAAUACUAAAUGUGAAAACAAAUAACAAGAGGUCAAUUAAGAAUUGAGGUUAAUAAAGAUGAGAAUGAAGCCUUCAUCCUUACGAAAAAAAAAAAAAAAAAAAAAAAAAAGAAGGAGAAGCAAUUGGAUGAAAACGAGGUCCAACUAAUAAUACCGAUCAAUCGUCGGAUAUCUUUUGAAGGUAAUAUUCGAUCGGCAUUUUCACGAAGCAGUCUCGUUCGAAGGAAAAAUGUAGCCAGCGUCAAGCUGUCGGGCUAAUUAACUUGCGAUUAAUUUGUCCACGUUAACGAACUGUAAGGCGCAGAGAUGAUUCAUUGCCGGGUUACACGGUACGGUUCUUCGAUGCGAAAAAAGAAGUCAAUUUCGAACAAAAAUAAGACGUCUCAUACGUAUUCUAUGCAUCAGAUAUUACCAAACAUAAUCAAUUAUAACACAGAGAUAGAUUUCGCUUCGAACGAGAAUAUUUCUCCUGAUCUCGUGCAAUCUUUCAUCGAAGGAAGAGGCGAAAAGGGGACAUAUAUAUAUAUAUAUAUAA
Long non-coding RNA from Apis mellifera (honey bee), 848 nucleotides. RefSeq lists it as uncharacterized. The record is from RefSeq and is a predicted model, not a curated record. NCBI's taxonomy places the organism in Eukaryota, Metazoa, Arthropoda, Insecta, Hymenoptera, Apidae. The transcript has 3 exons.